GGCCCAGUGCGCAUUGGACUGCAAAUCCAGAUUACGGUAGGAUUACCCCUGGGCUU
This 56-nucleotide transfer RNA is filed under the name Varanus yuwonoi. RNAcentral describes it as "tRNA-Cys". Lineage: Eukaryota; Metazoa; Chordata; Lepidosauria; Squamata; Varanidae. The record is from RNAcentral.